CCGGAAGAUGCGCCUCAACGUCCUCUUCAUCCCCAACCAAGGAAUUGAACCGGAACCUCUCCAAUCGCCCGCAAAUUCGCCGCUACCCAACUCCAACAGCCGGUGCACCCCCGACGCCAUCUCCCUUGCCCCGGUUUGCCUCCAGACGCCGAAGCCAUCUCCAACCAGAGCUCCUUCACGAUGACCGCCAUGGCUACUCAGUUUCAUCUCCGCCACGGGUUGGUUCAAGUUGCCCCGCGCCCUAAUCUUGUCACCAUCCGAACAGACAUCACAGUGAUCCCGCAGGCCUAGAUGGUUUUCUUUCAUGUGGCCUCUUCUAAAUCAACAAUAGCAGCUAGCUCAUCUGGUUCGUUCGGCCCAAUUCGUUGCAUGAGAUCCCGUGUUCAAUUCCUGUUGGAGGCGAAAUUACCUUGCCAGUCUUUUUCUGCUCCAGAUCCGCUGUUGGGUCCCGACCCGUGUUCCUCCCGGUGCAGCCCAUCGCGCGCGCGGCCCAAAGCUAACCGUCGCCGCUCGCAGGCCAGAACUGGGCCGGCCCACGCGUGCCAGACCUUUCCUCCCGCCGGCCAGCAUUUGCUUCUUCCCGGAUAGGAUCACGAAGUGGUGAUGUGAGAUACGACGAGUUCUCCGACAAGUUCUCCUGCAGCUUUUCACAGGCGAGCCCACCCCUUCACCUAUUUUACUUUUACAUGCUCUUUUGAUCUAUUGCUAUCCUUGUGUUGCGAUUCUGUUGUGUCACGUGUCCUAUCCACCUGUUACCUAUAUGUCCGAGAUACACCUCCUCGCCCUACCUAUUGUUUGUUGUUUGCCAGCUUUGCGAGUCGUAGGCGAGUUUAGGGUCAUGUUGAUAUCUCGAGAUGUUCGGGAUAUCUUGUUGGGAGGUUAUCACAUGCUAUAUCUUUUGUUGGAGAUAAUCACACUUUAUUUUAUUGUUAACAACUAAAAUUGUAAGCAGAGGCAUCUGUGAGCCCCUUUGCGAAAGCAUCGGAACUUUGACUUGCUAAUGUCCCCUAGGACCCGAGUUCUUGUUAUCUGUUCCGAGAUUGAGCGCUCUACCCGUACGUGGGGGAGUGGGACCCCCAUCACCCACUACCUUUCCUCGAGUCUGUUUAUUGGGAGCCACAACCUUGGUUUUAUUUUGCUCAUAUGCAUGAUGCACGAUUUACUUCUGUUGCCUUCGGGUGUU
Molecule: long non-coding RNA, 1183 nt
Organism: Lolium perenne
Lineage: Eukaryota; Viridiplantae; Streptophyta; Magnoliopsida; Poales; Poaceae
Source: RefSeq, a predicted model, not a curated record